This 377-nucleotide ribosomal RNA is filed under the name uncultured Chloroflexota bacterium. RNAcentral's name for it is "bacterial SSU rRNA". It matches the Rfam family "Bacterial small subunit ribosomal RNA", at positions 521 to 896 of the family's 1533-position model. Lineage: Bacteria; Bacillati; Chloroflexota. The record is from RNAcentral.
UAAUACGUAGGUGGCGAGCGUUGUCCGGAAUUACUGGGCGUAAAGGGCCUGUAGGCGGCAUGGUAAGUCCGUAGUGAAAUCUCCCGGCUUAACUGGGAGCGGUCUAUGGAUACUGCCAAGCUAGAGAUCAUCAGAGGAGAGCGGAAUUCCCGGUGUAGUGGUGAAAUGCGUAGAUAUCGGGAGGAACACCAGUGGCGAAAGCGGCUCUCUGGGGUGGUUCUGACGCUGAGGGGCGAAAGCGUGGGGAGCAAACCGGAUUAGAUACCCGGGUAGUCCACGCCCUAAACGAUGAAUGCUAAGUCUCCGGGGUAUCCACCCCCUGUGAGCUGUAGUUAACGCGUUAAGCAUUCCGCCUGGGGACUACGGCCGCAAGGCUA